UACGUAGGUGGCGAGCGUUAUCCGGAAUUACUGGGUGUAAAGGGCGCGCAGGCGGGGAGACAAGUCAGAUGUGAAAUACCGGUGCUUAACACCGGGGCUGCAACUGAAACUGUUUUUCUUGAGUGUCGGAGAGGGAAGCGGAAUUCCCAGUGUAGCGGUGAAAUGCGUAGAUAUUGGGAGGAACACCAGUGGCGAAGGCGGCUUUCUGGACGACAACUGACGCUGAGGCGCGAAAGCGUGGGGAGCAAACAGGAUUAGAUACC
Molecule: ribosomal RNA, 263 nt
Filed under: uncultured bacterium
Lineage: Bacteria
Description: partial 16S ribosomal RNA
Rfam family: Bacterial small subunit ribosomal RNA
Source: RNAcentral